Chiroxiphia lanceolata (lance-tailed manakin) is the source of this 1104-nucleotide long non-coding RNA. RefSeq lists it as uncharacterized. Lineage: Eukaryota; Metazoa; Chordata; Aves; Passeriformes; Pipridae. The transcript is spliced from 4 exons. The record is from RefSeq and is a predicted model, not a curated record.
CCUUUUUGUGCCUCCUGGAGCACCUCAGCAGACAGCUCUUGUGUUCUUCAUCAGUAUCCUCAUUUAAGAAAAACACUGGUAGACAUGUUACAAAACAACCUUUCUAAAAAUUGUUCCUAGGUAUGAGUGGGAAAAUCCCAUGACGCAUCAAGGCUGAGGCACUCAGCAGGGUGAGGAGAUCUCACAAACUCCAGAGAGGCUUCUAGCAGAAGUUAUGGGAUGUGCUGGAGUUUGCAGGCUCCUGCACCCUUCUGCUGACCCUGAAGUGGCUGCUGCUGAAGACCAUGAGCAAAGCUUGUGUUACCUUCAAGUGCAAGACACUGACUACAGAGGGAAAAGGGCUGCAGGCAGUCUGAAGCGUUUAGUGGCGAGUGGUCUGUGGGAACAUGUGGAGCUGGCAGAUUGCAGAGUGCACUCUGGGAGAAGACUCCUUACCUGGAGCCACAGGAAUGGCUGAAACAUGUGGAAGGAUUCCUAAAGGAUUCCAGUUAUUCAGCAGAAUGAAGCGAGUCUGCCCCUGGGUGCAGGGAAUAGCCAGAGGCAGCAGAAAAUGCCUCCUCAGGGUUGUUCUGUCCCGCCAGCAAAGGUGGUGCAGUGGCAGAGAAAAGAAACGGGGAUUUUUUUUCAGUGAACUGCAGGAAAUCUUCCCAGCAGCUGCUAUUCACCUGUCAGCACGGAAGGAAUUAAAGAACAAAGAGCUGAGCUCACAACAAAAGUACUGAAAUCAUCAAUCUACUGGAGGGAGAAAAGGGAUUCCAGUUGAAGUGACACCAUUUUUCAACACUGAGGGUAAAGAGCAGUGCUGUUGUGAGACACAGAACGGGCUCUGUCACAACACGGUGUGUGGGUAUUCUGUCAAGUGAAAUUCAGUGGAAGAAAAUGCAAGAUAACAUGCUGUGCCUUCCUACAAAUGGAUUUUGAGUGAGCUGUAAUCCCGUGGGGGAAAAGAUCUUCAACCUUUCACAGAGCUCUGGCAAUCUGAGCCUGGAAGGACAGGUGAGGUUAGAGAACAAGAAGGCACUCAUUGGACUUGGAAAGGCAACAUUUUCCAGUGGAGAAAAGGAAAAAAGUACUGCAUUCAACUCGGGGAGAUCAUUGCCACAG